RNAcentral lists this ribosomal RNA (459 nucleotides) under uncultured bacterium. RNAcentral describes it as "partial 16S ribosomal RNA". It matches the Rfam family "Bacterial small subunit ribosomal RNA", at positions 338 to 795 of the family's 1533-position model. The record is from RNAcentral.
CCUACGGGAGGCAGCAGUGAGGAAUAUUGGUCAAUGGGCGGAAGCCUGAACCAGCCAAGUAGCGUGCGGGAUGAAGGCCCUACGGGUCGUAAACCGCUUUUGCACGGGGAUAACACCCUCCACUUGUGGAGGUCUGCAGGUACCGUGCGAAUAAGGGCCGGCUAAUUCCGUGCCAGCAGCCGCGGUAAUACGGAGGGCCCGAGCGUUAUCCGGGUUCAUUGGGCUUAACGGGGGCGUAGGCGGGGGUUCAAGUCAGUGGGAAAAUCGCGCGGCUCAACCGCGCCCCGCAGUUGAAACUGGACGCCUUGAGUUCACAACAGGCAGGCGGAAUUCGUGGUGUAGCGGUGAAAUGCAUAGAUAUCACGAGGAACCCCGAUGGCGAAGGCAGCCUGCCGGGGUGCGACUGACGCUGAGGCUCGAAGGUGCGGGUAUCAAACAGGAUUAGAUACCCCAGUAGUC